UAAUACCGGAUAAAAAGCUACUUUCGCAUGAAAGAAGUUUAAAAAGGCGGCGUAAGCUGUCGCUAAAGGAUGGACCUGCGAUGCAUUAGCUAGUUGGUAAGGUAACGGCUUACCAAGGCGAUGAUGCAUAGCCGAGUUGAGAGACUGAUCGGCCACAUUGGGACUGAGACACGGCCCAAACUCCUACGGGAGGCAGCAGUAGGGAAUUUUCCACAAUGGACGCAAGUCUGAUGGAGCAACGCCGCGUGAGUGAAGAAGGUUUUCGGAUCGUAAAGCUCUGUUGUUGGUGAAGAAGGAUAGAGGUAGUAACUGGCCUUUAUUUGACGGUAAUCAACCAGAAAGUCACGGCUAACUACGUGCCAGCAGCCGCGGUAAAU
Molecule: ribosomal RNA, 377 nt
Filed under: uncultured Lactobacillus sp.
Lineage: Bacteria; Bacillati; Bacillota; Bacilli; Lactobacillales; Lactobacillaceae
Description: bacterial SSU rRNA
Rfam family: Bacterial small subunit ribosomal RNA
Source: RNAcentral